Molecule: small nucleolar RNA, 70 nt
Organism: Parambassis ranga (Indian glassy fish)
Lineage: Eukaryota; Metazoa; Chordata; Actinopteri; Ambassidae
Source: Ensembl
UCUCCAGUGAUGUUGUACAUACUUUCGUUCUUCUGAGUCAACUGAAGCCACACUUAAUGUCCUGAGCAGA